This 351-nucleotide long non-coding RNA is filed under the name Salvia miltiorrhiza (redroot sage). Its description in RNAcentral is "long non-coding RNA (SMIL_LNC001318)". The record is from RNAcentral. Lineage: Eukaryota; Viridiplantae; Streptophyta; Magnoliopsida; Lamiales; Lamiaceae.
UCGCGUCAAAUAUGGAUUUUUGGCAAAGUUGUGUAUUUUCACGCAAUUAUCCCUAAAAAAUAGUAUAAUUUUAGCUGAAUAUAAAAAAAUAAAAAAUUACCAUAAUACAAAUUGAUAUUACGAAAAUGUAAAAAAAAAGGUUAAAAGAGUAACAAUAAAAAAGAAUUAAAAAAUAAAUUUAUUAUAAAAAAAAAGAGGAGAGAGAAGAGAUAAUUUUAUUAAGUUUUAAUUUUUAAAUAAAUACUCCCUCCGUCCACGAAAGAACUUCCUAUCUUUCCUUUUUGAGAUGUCCACAAAACUACUUUAUCACUUUAUUACCUUCUGUUUCUCACUUUAUCAUUUUCUCUCUCC